This is a non-coding RNA of Nylanderia fulva, 466 nucleotides long. The record is from RefSeq and is a predicted model, not a curated record. NCBI's taxonomy places the organism in Eukaryota, Metazoa, Arthropoda, Insecta, Hymenoptera, Formicidae.
CUGGCGUCACGUCUCACCGGGUUGAGCCAUCGACGACACCACGCAGUGACUCGCAGCAGCCGUUGCAGCGUCGGGAACCGCAGAAGAAGGUCCGGUUCGGUAAUGACUGGCGCCUUGACUACCAGGCUGGUGACUCGUUGCUCAGGGAGGUCAUCCUCUGGGACGUCGAUGUCUGCACCAGGCCAGGCAGCCUCGUCUCCUGACAGCCAGGGUUUUCUCGUCCGGCGACGUGUCUCCAAUGAGCGUCUGGAAGCAGGGUCUGGAUCUGCGACACUCGGUUGGCAACAAAGGUCUUCCAGCGGGUGCAGUGUCCGCGAAUCCAGUGAAGAGUGACCUUGGAGUCGGACCACAGGUGCACCGGCGUAGCAGCCAAGCCGAGGGUAGUGCGUACAUGCAACAUGAGCGUGCGUUGCGGAUGUAUACGACGGCGGCGUAUCCUCGCUCCGAUGCAUCGGCAAACCCAUGG